RNAcentral lists this non-coding RNA (110 nucleotides) under uncultured Butyricicoccus sp. RNAcentral's name for it is "SAM riboswitch (S box leader)". It matches the Rfam family "SAM riboswitch aptamer (S box leader)". Rfam says of the family: The SAM riboswitch is found upstream of a number of genes which code for proteins involved in methionine or cysteine biosynthesis in Gram-positive bacteria. The SAM riboswitch acts at the level of transcription termination control. Lineage: Bacteria; Bacillati; Bacillota; Clostridia; Eubacteriales; Butyricicoccaceae. The record is from RNAcentral.
CUUAUCAAGAGUGGUGGAGGGACUGGCCCUAUGAAACCCAGCAACCUGUUUUUUUCAAGGUGCUAAAUCCAGCGGUAAUUCAGUUCGAUUGAAACGAACCGAUAGAUGAG